This is a long non-coding RNA of Bufo bufo (common toad), 535 nucleotides long. RefSeq lists it as uncharacterized. The transcript is spliced from 3 exons. The record is from RefSeq and is a predicted model, not a curated record. NCBI's taxonomy places the organism in Eukaryota, Metazoa, Chordata, Amphibia, Anura, Bufonidae.
GUCAGGAUUACUGGGGCAGAGGUGUCAUUAACCCCUCCACUACCAGCCCUCUCCCCGGAUCCGCUCUCCCUCUGGGGCUGACACUGCCCUCCAGUCCCUUCUUCAGGCUCUUUCCAGCAGUGAAGGUGCAGUGGUGAGACUGCCUCCCAACUGUCCCAGAUCCGGUGGGACAGUCCCAGAGUUUGGUGGUUUUCCUGCAGUCCCAGAACGGCUGAGGUUCCUACAAUAUAGGAUCCGCUCAGUGGAGAUCCUCUAUAUAAGAUCCUUCUCCUGAUUGACCCAUCAAGGAUGGAUAGAGACAGAGACAAGAUGGCGGAGAGUAUAAUAAAUCUCACCCUAGAGAUCCUCUUCCGGCUUACUGGAGAGGACUACACAGUAGUGAAGAAGACCUCUAGUGAGUGCUGUCAGGACCCUGUUCCUGAAAGAUGGGGAAGAACCCUGAGCCCAAUCAUGGGGCCUACACCUCACCCCCUGAUACAUGAGGCAAUCAAUAGAGAGAAGAUCCUAGAACUCACCAACAAGAUGAUUGAGCUGC